AUUGAACGCUGGCGGCAUGCCUUACACAUGCAAGUCGAACGGCAGCACGGGAGCAAUCCUGGUGGCGAGUGGCGAACGGGUGAGUAAAGUAUCGGAACGUGCCCAGUCGUGGGGGAUAACGUAGCGAAAGUUACGCUAAUACCGCAUACGAUCUAUGGAUGAAAGCGGGGGAUCGCAAGACCUCGCGCGAUUGGAGCGGCCGAUAUCAGACUAGGUAGUUGGUGGGGUAAAGGCGCACCAAGCCGACGAUCUGUAGCUGGUCUGAGAGGACGACCAGCCACACUGGGACUGAGACACGGCCCAGACUCCUACGGGAGGCAGCAGUGGGGAAUUUUGGACAAGGGGCGAAAGCCUGAUCCAGCCAUGCCGCGUGCAGGAUGAAGGCCUUCGGGUUGUAAACUGCUUUUGUACGGAACGAAAAGGUUUGGCCUAAUAAGCUGAGCUCAUGACGGUACCGUAAGAAUAAGCACCGGCUAACUACGUGCCAGCAGCCGCCGUAA
This 500-nucleotide ribosomal RNA is filed under the name uncultured bacterium. RNAcentral describes it as "partial 16S ribosomal RNA". It matches the Rfam family "Bacterial small subunit ribosomal RNA", at positions 29 to 523 of the family's 1533-position model. The record is from RNAcentral.